RNAcentral lists this ribosomal RNA (405 nucleotides) under uncultured bacterium. RNAcentral describes it as "bacterial SSU rRNA". It matches the Rfam family "Bacterial small subunit ribosomal RNA", at positions 370 to 772 of the family's 1533-position model. The record is from RNAcentral.
AAUGGGCUGAAGCCUGAACCAGCCAUGCCGCGUGCAGGAAGAAUGCCCUACGGGUUGUAAACUGCUUUUCCCCGGGAAGAAUAAGGCCCCUGCGGGGGUCGAUGCCGGUACCGGGGGAAUAAGGAUCGGCUAACUCCGUGCCAGCAGCCGCGGUAAUACGGAGGAUCCGAGCGUUAUCCGGAUUUACUGGGUUUAAAGGGUGCGUAGGCGGGCGCCUAAGUCGGCGGUGAAAUGCAGCGGCUCAACCGUUGAACUGCCGUUGAAACUGGGCGCCUUGGAUGCGGUCGAGGCCGGCGGAAUGCGUGGUGUAGCGGUGAAAUGCUUAGAUAUCACGCAGAACGCCAAUUGCGAAGGCAACUGGCCGGGCCGCAAUCGACGCUGAGCCACGAAAGCGUGGGGAUCAAA